Molecule: non-coding RNA, 775 nt
Organism: Schizosaccharomyces pombe (fission yeast)
Lineage: Eukaryota; Fungi; Ascomycota; Schizosaccharomycetes; Schizosaccharomycetales; Schizosaccharomycetaceae
Source: the annotation of a GenBank genome assembly
UUUUUUUUUAUUAGUGUAAACGGACGAAUUGCGAACAUUUUUGACAAGAUGCUUAUGACCCAAGACCAACUUCGCUUCUUAGUAUCCAUCUUCAUCUUCCAUAUGACCUUAGCUUUAUGGCCUAAGAUUUGGUGCCAACUCAAGGAAUCUGUAAGAAGGGUUUUGUUCUCGGUGAAGAGCACUAGCUCUCCAGUUUACUAAGCGAAUAAACGGGUACACUUUCGUUGAAAUCGCUUCUUGUCAUUGAUGUUUGCUUGUGAAGUGCAUUCUUACAUUUUACGCAUUUGAUGGCUGGCUUUUUCUUUCCUCCCUCAAGGUUGAAAGAAGUGAUGUUGCUUUCUGAAACGCAUUUCAUUAAUUUCCCUUUUCUUAGUUUUCUAAUCCUUAUUUUUUUUUGAUCUAUAUUCGGUUUGUUUACAUGCUCUGUCCGACUCAUGGUCCCACUACAUGGAAUCCUCAUUCUUGCACAGUCGUAGAAAAGUGCAUUACUAAUCUACUUAUAACUACUAUCCUUCUCUGUUUUUUUAACGCAACUACAUACUGGAAAUUGUUUUUUGGUGCUAUGUUUGAUUUUAUCCAUUACCAACUACUCUUCCGUAAUUCGCUAUCCGAAAUUCUCUUAUUAGGAUUAGGCUAAAAUUUUCUAAUGCUAAUCAGAUUGCCUUCUAAACGAGGGCUAAUUCGCCAAGUUUGUUUAGCCAAAUUAAGUGAAUUCGCUUGCAUCGUUGAAUGCGAUGAGUAAUGGAAUUAUAUAACGUUUUGAUGAAAUCCUCAG